RNAcentral lists this ribosomal RNA (392 nucleotides) under uncultured soil bacterium. RNAcentral's name for it is "bacterial SSU rRNA". It matches the Rfam family "Bacterial small subunit ribosomal RNA", at positions 26 to 404 of the family's 1533-position model. The record is from RNAcentral.
AGGACGAACGCUGGCGGCGUGCUUAAUACGUGCAAGUCGAGCGAGAAGCCACCGCUCCGUAAGGAGUGGUGGUGGAAAGCGGCGAACGGGUGAGUAACACGUGGGUAAUGUGCCCUGAACAUCGGGAUAACAGCCGGAAACGGCUGCUAAUACCGAAUAACCCUGCAAUGUCGCAUGACGAAGCAGGCAAAGUUCCGGCGGUUCAGGAUCAGCCCGCGGUGUAUCAGCUUGUUGGUGGGUAACGGCCUACCAAGGCUUUGACGCAUAGCUGGCGUGAGAGCGCGACAGCCACACUGGGACUGAGACGACGGCCAGACUUCGUACGGAAGGCAGCGAGUAAGGGAAUCGUUGCGCAAGUCGGGACGAAAGCCUGACGCAGCGACGCCGCGUGA